Long non-coding RNA from Notolabrus celidotus (New Zealand spotty), 415 nucleotides. RefSeq lists it as uncharacterized. The record is from RefSeq and is a predicted model, not a curated record. NCBI's taxonomy places the organism in Eukaryota, Metazoa, Chordata, Actinopteri, Labriformes, Labridae. The transcript has 3 exons.
ACCACAUAUAAAGCACCUGCGGCAACAUGGCUGCCUUUCUGUCUGGUUUGCCUGCUGGUUGCUACGUGCUCCUUGUACUGAGAUGAGUCUCCAACCGCUGGGCUGUCGAGUGAGUCUCUCUCAGAUUCUCCUCCAGCUCCUACACAAAAACACACAGACACAUCAUGGAGUGACACAAAAACUAUGCAACUGAACUAUCAGGGGAGUGAGAAACAUGUUGUCCAAAGACAGUCCAUACACACCCACGCUAAUUAGGUAGAGUAAUUGAGAGUACUUGUGUGGGUGUACCGUGGACGUGUAAGCGGUUCAAAUGAGACAAUAUUGUGUGGAACUUUUCAUUGUGCAGGAUGACUUUAUGCCCUUUGUAAAUAGAGGUUUUAAUCAAACAUGAAAAUAUUAAAGACCCUCCAUCUGA